Molecule: non-coding RNA, 261 nt
Organism: Pelobates cultripes (western spadefoot toad)
Lineage: Eukaryota; Metazoa; Chordata; Amphibia; Anura; Pelobatidae
Source: the annotation of a GenBank genome assembly
GCUAUAUAUACUUUUUAUGCUUAAAUGCACUAUACACGCUACAUACACUAUAUACAUAUAUACACCAUAUAUCCUGUGUAUUCUAUAUACAAUCUGCAAUGUACACAGGUAUACACCGAAUAUACAAUAUAUACUACAUUUAAGUUACAUACGCUAUAUAUACUUUUUAUGCUUAAAUGCACUAUACACUCUACAUACACUAUAUACAUAUAUACACCAUAUAUCCUGUGUAUUCUAUAUAUAAUCUGCAAUGUACACAGG